UACGUAGGGGGCAAGCGUUGUUCGGAAUUACUGGGCGUAAAGCGCACGUAGGCGGAUUUGUUAGUCAGGGGUGAAAUCCCGGGGCUCAACCUCGGAACUGCCUUUGAUACUGCAAAUCUCGAGUCCGAUAGAGGUGGGUGGAAUUCCUAGUGUAGAGGUGAAAUUCGUAGAUAUUAGGAAGAACACCGGUGGCGAAGGCGGCCCACUGGAUCGGUACUGACGCUGAGGUGCGAAAGCGUGGGGAGCAAACAGG
RNAcentral lists this ribosomal RNA (253 nucleotides) under uncultured bacterium. RNAcentral's name for it is "partial 16S ribosomal RNA". It matches the Rfam family "Bacterial small subunit ribosomal RNA", at positions 524 to 776 of the family's 1533-position model. The record is from RNAcentral.